Cinara cedri is the source of this 623-nucleotide non-coding RNA. Lineage: Eukaryota; Metazoa; Arthropoda; Insecta; Hemiptera; Aphididae. The record is from the annotation of a GenBank genome assembly.
UUAUUAUUAUUAUUAUUAUUGAUUCGACGUCAUAACUUCAUAAUAUAUUAUUUAUUUAUAUCCAAGUGCAUCCGAGUAUACCUAUUUUAAAAUUAUUUAUUUAAUAUUAUUAUAACAUAACUGGGUAUCCAGCGGCCGUAACUACGACGACGAAACGAACACGUUUUAAUUGUGUUAUCGCGUAAACACGAUACGCGAUGAUGCAAAUUUUCUAUUAUAGGCAUCACCAAAGUACAUUAUAAUAAUAAACUGCUGCAUCCGACGCGAUACCAUUUGAGUAUAUUAACAUAUUUCAAUGUAUAUGCAAUAGCGGAUCUGGGGGGGGGGCGGGCGAUAGGGUAGAUCGCUCACCCACCGUUCACUCUUCAAUACACUUUUAGCUAGAUUCAUCGUUGGGCCCGUCAUAAUUGUGUGCUUUAUAUGCGUUUUCAAAAUCCCCCCCCCCCCCCCGAUCACCGUUAUUUUUCCACUCCGUAUAUUUUAGCCCGACGGGACGAUUUUAUAUUCCGUGAGAUGAUGACGACACAAGCGUACACGCAAUAAGAUACAUACGCGAUAAUCGCCUACGUCUUAUACCCCAUUAGAUACUUUACAAUAUCGAAAUGAACAGGGUAAUCGUUCCU